Molecule: ribosomal RNA, 253 nt
Filed under: uncultured bacterium
Lineage: Bacteria
Description: partial 16S ribosomal RNA
Rfam family: Bacterial small subunit ribosomal RNA
Source: RNAcentral
UACGUAGGGCGCAAGCGUUGUCCGGAAUUAUUGGGCGUAAAGAGCUCGUAGGCGGUCUGUCGCGUCCGUUGUGAAAACUCGAGGCUCAACCUCGGGCUUGCAGUGGAUACGGGCAGACUAGAGUGCGGUAGGGGAGACUGGAAUUCCUGGUGUAGCGGUGGAAUGCGCAGAUAUCAGGAGGAACACCGGUGGCGAAGGCGGGUCUCUGGGCCGAUACUGACGCUGAGGAGCGAAAGCGUGGGGAGCGAACAGG